Long non-coding RNA from Amblyraja radiata (thorny skate), 127 nucleotides. RefSeq lists it as uncharacterized. Lineage: Eukaryota; Metazoa; Chordata; Chondrichthyes; Rajiformes; Rajidae. The record is from RefSeq and is a predicted model, not a curated record. The transcript is spliced from 3 exons.
CAGUCUGGAGCAGGGUCUCAACCCGAAACAUCACCUAUAGAGGAGGUUGUACGGCAGUCGAGGUCAGGAACCGUGACCCGUACUGUUGCCACGCAACGCCUUCUGGAGUACAAGCGGUGAACGUCAG